RNAcentral lists this ribosomal RNA (400 nucleotides) under Dicheirotrichus obsoletus. Its description in RNAcentral is "SSU rRNA". It matches the Rfam family "Eukaryotic small subunit ribosomal RNA", at positions 1172 to 1489 of the family's 1831-position model. Lineage: Eukaryota; Metazoa; Arthropoda; Insecta; Coleoptera; Carabidae. The record is from RNAcentral.
AGGAGUGGAGCCUGCGGCUUAAUUUGACUCAACACGGGGAAACUCACCAGGCCCAGACACUGGAAGGAUUGACAGAUUGAGAGCUCUUUCUUGAUUCAGUGGGUGGUGGUGCAUGGCCGUUCUUAGUUGGUGAAUUGGUUUGUCUGGUUAAUUCCGAUAACGAACGAGACUCUAGCCUACUAAAUAGACGUUAAACUUUCUAGUAUCUCGAAGGCUCACAUCUUUCGUUUCUUUACUGCACAUCGCCUUGCAUUUCGGUGUUUGGUUGUUGUGUGGUGGGCGGAAGUUUGUGGUUUUUACUACUAGCGUACAUAUAAAUCUUCUUAGAGGGACAGGCGGCUUCUAGCCGCACGAGGUAGAGCAAUAACAGGUCUGUGAUGCCCUUAGAUGUUCUGGGCCG